UGCAAGGGUGAGCCUUAGAAUAAGGCGAAUAACCUGCGCUUAGGUUCGAGCCGAGCGAAGCGAGACAGCAACGCGUCAGCGCUGAUCCUGAAGGCUGAGUCAUUCUGCAAGACCCACCA
This 119-nucleotide small RNA is filed under the name Pectobacterium punjabense. RNAcentral describes it as "RtT sRNA". It matches the Rfam family "RtT RNA". From Rfam's summary of the family: This family represents a bacterial cis-regulatory element known as RtT RNA. The exact function of RtT is unknown although it is thought that it may be involved in changing the cellular response in relation to amino acid starvation. The record is from RNAcentral. Lineage: Bacteria; Pseudomonadati; Pseudomonadota; Gammaproteobacteria; Enterobacterales; Pectobacteriaceae.